RNAcentral lists this long non-coding RNA (260 nucleotides) under Mytilus galloprovincialis (Mediterranean mussel). The record is from RNAcentral. Lineage: Eukaryota; Metazoa; Mollusca; Bivalvia; Mytilida; Mytilidae.
UUUACCCCUAUGUUCUAUUUUUAGCCAUGGCGGCCAUCUUGGUUAGUUGGCCGGAUCACCGGACACAUUUUUUUAACUAGAUACCCCAAUGAUGAUUGUGGCCAAGUUUGGUUUAAUUUGGCCCAGUAGUUUCAGAGGAGAAGAUUUUUGUAAAAGUUAACGCCGGACGACGGACGCAGGACGACGACGGACGACGGACGCCGGACGCCAAGUGAUGGGAAAAGCUCACUUGGCCCUUCGGGCCAGGUGAGCUAAAAAAU